GCCGGAGUGGCGGAAUUGGUAGACGCAGUUGAUUCAAAAUCAACCGCUUUAGGGCGUGCCGGUUCGAUUCCGCCUUCGGCA
RNAcentral lists this transfer RNA (81 nucleotides) under Morganella psychrotolerans. RNAcentral describes it as "tRNA-Leu". It matches the Rfam family "tRNA". Rfam says of the family: Transfer RNA (tRNA) molecules are approximately 80 nucleotides in length. Their secondary structure includes four short double-helical elements and three loops (D, anti-codon, and T loops). Further hydrogen bonds mediate the characteristic L-shaped molecular structure. tRNAs have two regions of fundamental functional importance: the anti-codon, which is responsible for specific mRNA codon recognition, and the 3' end, to which the tRNAs corresponding amino acid is attached (by aminoacyl-tRNA synthetases). tRNAs cope with the degeneracy of the genetic code in two manners: having more than one tRNA (with a specific anti-codon) for a particular amino acid; and 'wobble' base-pairing, i.e. permitting non-standard base-pairing at the 3rd anti-codon position. The record is from RNAcentral. Lineage: Bacteria; Pseudomonadati; Pseudomonadota; Gammaproteobacteria; Enterobacterales; Morganellaceae.